UACGUAGGUGGCAAGCGUUGUCCGGAAUUACUGGGUGUAAAGGGAGCGUAGGCGGGUAUUCAAGUCUAAUGUGAAAUCUAACGGCUCAACCGAUAGACUGCGUUGGAAACUGGGUAUCUUGAGUGAAGUAGAGGCAGGCGGAAUUCCUAGUGUAGCGGUGAAAUGCGUAGAUAUUAGGAGGAACACCAGUGGCGAAGGCGGCCUGCUGGGCUUUAACUGACGCUGAGGCUCGAAAGCGUGGGGAGCAAACAGGAUUAGAUACC
Molecule: ribosomal RNA, 263 nt
Filed under: uncultured bacterium
Lineage: Bacteria
Description: partial 16S ribosomal RNA
Rfam family: Bacterial small subunit ribosomal RNA
Source: RNAcentral